GAUGAACGCUGGCGGCGUGCCUAAUACAUGCAAGUCGAGCGGUAAGGCCCCUUCGGGGGUACACGAGCGGCGGACGGCUGAGUAACACGUAGGAACGUACCCCAAAGUGAGGGAUAAGCACCGGAAACGGUGUCUAAUACCGCAUGUGGUCUUCGGACUAAAGCUCCGGCGCUUUGGGAACGGCCUGCGCAUGAUUAGCUUGUUGGUGAGGUAAUAGCUCACCAAGGCGAUGAUCAUAGCUGGUCUGAGAGGAUGAUCAGCCAGACUGGGACUGAGAACGGCCCAGACUCCUACGGGAGGCAGCAGUAGGGAAUCUUGCACAAUGGGGGAAACCCUGAUGCAGCGACGCCGCGUGGAGGAUGAAGGAUCUAGGUCUGUAAACCCCUUUUUCAGGGAAAGACUUAGGACGGUACCCUGAGAAUAAGGACCGGCUAACUACGUGCCAGCCGCCGCCGUAACAU
This 461-nucleotide ribosomal RNA is filed under the name uncultured bacterium. RNAcentral's name for it is "bacterial SSU rRNA". It matches the Rfam family "Bacterial small subunit ribosomal RNA", at positions 28 to 526 of the family's 1533-position model. The record is from RNAcentral.